RNAcentral lists this ribosomal RNA (253 nucleotides) under uncultured bacterium. Its description in RNAcentral is "partial 16S ribosomal RNA". It matches the Rfam family "Bacterial small subunit ribosomal RNA", at positions 524 to 776 of the family's 1533-position model. The record is from RNAcentral.
UACGUAGGGUGCAAGCGUUGUCCGGAAUUAUUGGGCUUAAAGAGCUCGUAGGCGGUCUGUCGCGUCUGCUGUGAAAACUCGGGGCUUAACCCCGGGCCUGCAGUGGGUACGGGCAGACUAGAGUGCGGUAGGGGAGACUGGAAUUCCUGGUGUAGCGGUGAAAUGCGCAGAUAUCAGGAGGAACACCGGUGGCGAAGGCGGGUCUCUGGGACGUAACUGACGCUGAGGAGCGAAAGCAUGGGGAGCGAACAGG